UAUGAUGCGGUUCGGUAC
Molecule: non-coding RNA, 18 nt
Filed under: Arabidopsis thaliana (thale cress)
Lineage: Eukaryota; Viridiplantae; Streptophyta; Magnoliopsida; Brassicales; Brassicaceae
Source: RNAcentral